GAGGUGCCGGUGGAAGCACCGGGUAAAAGGGAACCGGGUGAGAAUCCCGGACGAUCCCGUCACUGUGAAGGGGAAAAGCGCCAGGUCCGAAGAGGACAGUCACUGGAAGAGAUUCCGGGAAGGCGGUGCGGCAGUAUCCCCGAAGCCAGGAAACCUGCCCCUGC
This 164-nucleotide non-coding RNA is filed under the name bovine gut metagenome. The record is from RNAcentral.